RNAcentral lists this ribosomal RNA (1540 nucleotides) under Klebsiella variicola. Its description in RNAcentral is "bacterial SSU rRNA". It matches the Rfam family "Bacterial small subunit ribosomal RNA". The record is from RNAcentral. Lineage: Bacteria; Pseudomonadati; Pseudomonadota; Gammaproteobacteria; Enterobacterales; Enterobacteriaceae.
AAAUUGAAGAGUUUGAUCAUGGCUCAGAUUGAACGCUGGCGGCAGGCCUAACACAUGCAAGUCGAGCGGUAGCACAGAGAGCUUGCUCUCGGGUGACGAGCGGCGGACGGGUGAGUAAUGUCUGGGAAACUGCCUGAUGGAGGGGGAUAACUACUGGAAACGGUAGCUAAUACCGCAUAAUGUCGCAAGACCAAAGUGGGGGACCUUCGGGCCUCAUGCCAUCAGAUGUGCCCAGAUGGGAUUAGCUGGUAGGUGGGGUAACGGCUCACCUAGGCGACGAUCCCUAGCUGGUCUGAGAGGAUGACCAGCCACACUGGAACUGAGACACGGUCCAGACUCCUACGGGAGGCAGCAGUGGGGAAUAUUGCACAAUGGGCGCAAGCCUGAUGCAGCCAUGCCGCGUGUGUGAAGAAGGCCUUCGGGUUGUAAAGCACUUUCAGCGGGGAGGAAGGCGUUAAGGUUAAUAACCUUGGCGAUUGACGUUACCCGCAGAAGAAGCACCGGCUAACUCCGUGCCAGCAGCCGCGGUAAUACGGAGGGUGCAAGCGUUAAUCGGAAUUACUGGGCGUAAAGCGCACGCAGGCGGUCUGUCAAGUCGGAUGUGAAAUCCCCGGGCUCAACCUGGGAACUGCAUUCGAAACUGGCAGGCUAGAGUCUUGUAGAGGGGGGUAGAAUUCCAGGUGUAGCGGUGAAAUGCGUAGAGAUCUGGAGGAAUACCGGUGGCGAAGGCGGCCCCCUGGACAAAGACUGACGCUCAGGUGCGAAAGCGUGGGGAGCAAACAGGAUUAGAUACCCUGGUAGUCCACGCUGUAAACGAUGUCGAUUUGGAGGUUGUGCCCUUGAGGCGUGGCUUCCGGAGCUAACGCGUUAAAUCGACCGCCUGGGGAGUACGGCCGCAAGGUUAAAACUCAAAUGAAUUGACGGGGGCCCGCACAAGCGGUGGAGCAUGUGGUUUAAUUCGAUGCAACGCGAAGAACCUUACCUGGUCUUGACAUCCACAGAACUUUCCAGAGAUGGAUUGGUGCCUUCGGGAACUGUGAGACAGGUGCUGCAUGGCUGUCGUCAGCUCGUGUUGUGAAAUGUUGGGUUAAGUCCCGCAACGAGCGCAACCCUUAUCCUUUGUUGCCAGCGGUUAGGCCGGGAACUCAAAGGAGACUGCCAGUGAUAAACUGGAGGAAGGUGGGGAUGACGUCAAGUCAUCAUGGCCCUUACGACCAGGGCUACACACGUGCUACAAUGGCAUAUACAAAGAGAAGCGACCUCGCGAGAGCAAGCGGACCUCAUAAAGUAUGUCGUAGUCCGGAUUGGAGUCUGCAACUCGACUCCAUGAAGUCGGAAUCGCUAGUAAUCGUAGAUCAGAAUGCUACGGUGAAUACGUUCCCGGGCCUUGUACACACCGCCCGUCACACCAUGGGAGUGGGUUGCAAAAGAAGUAGGUAGCUUAACCUUCGGGAGGGCGCUUACCACUUUGUGAUUCAUGACUGGGGUGAAGUCGUAACAAGGUAACCGUAGGGGAACCUGCGGUUGGAUCACCUCCUUA